UACAGAGGUGGCAAGCGUUGUUCGGAAUUACUGGGCGUAAAGGGCGCGUAGGCGGCCUUGUCAGUCAGACGUGAAAUCCCCAGGCUUAACCUGGGAACUGCGUCUGAUACUACAAGGCUGGAGUUCGGGAGAGGAAUGUGGAAUUCCAGGUGUAGCGGUGAAAUGCGUAGAUAUCUGGAGGAACACCGGUGGCGAAGGCAGGUCUCUGGGCUGACACUGACGCUCAUGCACGAAAGCGUGGGGAGCAAACAGG
Molecule: ribosomal RNA, 253 nt
Filed under: uncultured bacterium
Lineage: Bacteria
Description: partial 16S ribosomal RNA
Rfam family: Bacterial small subunit ribosomal RNA
Source: RNAcentral